CACUUUUCAGAAUAUUCAUGAUUUUAAUGAGCUGAAAGAUAGAGAGCAUACAGUGUUAAAGUCUGGAAUGGCUAAGAUCGCAUAGACUAGUAUGAAGAAUGGAACUUGGCAUUUAAUGGAGGAUGGACAGACAAAGAUGAGCUCAUGAAAAAUACUGAGGAGAAGCCAGAGAGACUGGAGGAGAAGCAGGAGAAUGUAGGAUCCUGAAACCUGAGGGGAAGGAGUAUCAAGGAGACAGGAUCAUGUAAGAUUCAGAAACACGAGUUGAUCUGAAAUUUAUGUACCCGGAUCCUCCAAGAGAUCAUCACACCUUAGAGAUUCAGCAGCAAGCCCUGCUAAGAGAGCAGCAGAAGAGGCUGAACAGAAUAAAAAUGCAGGAAGGUGCCAAAGUUGACUUAGAUGCCAUCCCAAGUGCUAAAGUACAAGAGCAAAGAAUGCCCAGAGAUGACACUAGUGAUUUCUUGAAAAACUCAUUAUUGGAAUCUGAUAGUGCUUUUAUUGGGGCUUACGGUGAGACAUAUCCUGCCAUUGAAGAUGACGUCCUCCCUCCACCAUCACAGUUGCCCUCUGCACGGGAGCGCAGGAGGAACAAAUGGAAAGGACUAGACAUUGAUAGCAGUCGUCCUAAUGUAGCACCAGAUGGUCUCUCUCUAAAAUCUAUAUCCAGUGUAAAUGUUGAUGAGCUUAGAGUGAGAAAUGAGGAACGAAUGCGAAGACUGAAUGAA
RNAcentral lists this small RNA (725 nucleotides) under Pan troglodytes (chimpanzee). RNAcentral describes it as "processed transcript". The record is from RNAcentral. Lineage: Eukaryota; Metazoa; Chordata; Mammalia; Primates; Hominidae.